CGCGUAAAGAACUUGCCUCUUAGACCGGGACAACAUCUGGAAACGGAUGCUAAUACCGGAUAUUAUGGUUUUUUCGCAUGGAGGAAUCAUGAAAGCUAGAUGCGCUAAGAGAGAGCUUUGCGUCCCAUUAGCUAGUUGGUGAGGUAACGGCCCACCAAGGCAAUGAUGGGUAGCCGGCCUGAGAGGGUGAACGGCCACAAGGGGACUGAGACACGGCCCUUACUCCUACGGGAGGCAGCAGUGGGGAAUAUUGGACAAUGGACCACAAGUCUGAUCCAAUUCUGUGUCGACGUUUUUCGGAAAAUGUUGGAAAAUCAGUGACGGUACCGACAAAAGCGAGGCUAAAUAGUGCCAGCCCGGUAAUAGUUCGCAAGCGUUAUCCGGAUUUAUUGGGCGUAAAGCGCGUUAGGCGGCAGAAUUGAUGUGAAAAUGCGGAGCUCAACUCCGUAUGGCGUUGGAAACUGCCUUACUAGAGUACUGGAGAGGUAGGCGGAACUACAAGUUAGAGGAAUUCGUAGAUAUUUGUAGGAAUGCCGAUGGGGAAGCCAGCCUACUGGACAGAUACUGACGCUAAAGCGCGAAAGCGUGGGUAGCAAACAGGAUUAGAUACCCUGGUAGUCCACGCUGUAAACGAUGAUUACUAGGUGUUGGGGGUCAAACCUCGCGCCCAAGCUAACGCGAUAAGUAAUCCGCCUGGGGAGUACGUACGCAAGUUGAAACUCAAAGGAAUUGACGGGGCCCGCAAGCGGGAGCAUGUGUUUAAUUCGACGCAACGGAGGAACUUACCAGCGUUUGACAUCAAGGAAAGCCGGCCUUCGGGGGAAGAGGGGCAUGGUUCGUCAGCUCUGUCGUGAAUUUGGGUUAAGUCCCCAAGCAACCCCUUUUCCUCCUUGUUGGGGAUGCCUGCGACGAGCAGGAGGAAGGUGGGGAUGACGUCAAGUCAUCAUGCCCCUUAUACGCUGGGCUACACACGUGCUACAAUGGGUAGUACAGAGAGCGGCAAACCCGCGAGGGGGAGCAAAUCUCAGAAAACUAUUCUUAGUUCGGAUUGUACUCUGCAACUCGAGUACAUGAAGUUGGAAUCGCUAGUAAUCGCAAAUCAGCAAUGUUGCGGUGAAUACGUUCUCGGGUCUUGUACACACCGCCCGUCACACCACGAGAGUUGGUUGC
Molecule: ribosomal RNA, 1170 nt
Filed under: Fusobacterium necrophorum
Lineage: Bacteria; Fusobacteriati; Fusobacteriota; Fusobacteriia; Fusobacteriales; Fusobacteriaceae
Description: bacterial SSU rRNA
Rfam family: Bacterial small subunit ribosomal RNA
Source: RNAcentral